AUUGAACGCUGGCGGCAUGCUUUACACAUGCGAGUCGAACGGCAGCGCGGGCUUCGGCCUGGCGGCGAGUGGCGAACGGGUGAGUAAUGCAUCGGAACGUGCCCAGUAGUGGGGGAUAGCCCGGCGAAAGCCGGAUUAAUACCGCAUACGACCUGAGGGUGAAAGCGGGGGACCGAAAGGCCUCGCGCUAUUGGAGCGGCCGAUGUCGGAUUAGCUAGUUGGUGGGGUAAAGGCUUACCAAGGCGACGAUCCGUAGCUGGUCUGAGAGGACGACCAGCCACACUGGGACUGAGACACGGCCCAGACUCCUACGGGAGGCAGCAGUGGGGAAUUUUGGACAAUGGGGGCAACCCUGAUCCAGCCAUGCCGUGUGCGGGAAGAAGGCCUUCGGGUUGUAAACCGCUUUUGUUCGGGAAGAAAUCCUCUGGGCUAAUACCCCGGGGGGAUGACGGUACCGGAAGAAUAAGCACCGGCUAACUACGUG
Molecule: ribosomal RNA, 484 nt
Filed under: uncultured bacterium
Lineage: Bacteria
Description: partial 16S ribosomal RNA
Rfam family: Bacterial small subunit ribosomal RNA
Source: RNAcentral